This 755-nucleotide ribosomal RNA is filed under the name uncultured Bacteroidota bacterium. RNAcentral's name for it is "bacterial SSU rRNA". It matches the Rfam family "Bacterial small subunit ribosomal RNA", at positions 574 to 1333 of the family's 1533-position model. The record is from RNAcentral. Lineage: Bacteria; Pseudomonadati; Bacteroidota.
GGCGGAUCAAUAAGUCAGUGGUGAAAACCUGCAGCUUAACUGUAGAACUGCCAUUGAUACUGUUAGUCUUGAGUACGGUCAAGGUAGGCGGAAUGUGUAAUGUAGCGGUGAAAUGCUUAGAUAUUACACAGAACACCGAUUGCGAAGGCAGCUUACUGGGCCAUUACUGACGCUGAUGCACGAAAGCGUGGGGAGCGAACAGGAUUAGAUACCCUGGUAGCCCACGCCGUAAACGAUGAUCACUCGCUGUUGGCGAUACACAGUCAGCGGCUAAGCAAAAGCAUUAAGUGAUCCACCUGGGGAGUACGGCCGCAAGGCUGAAACUCAAAGGAAUUGACGGGGGCCCGCACAAGCGGAGGAACAUGUGGUUUAAUUCGAUGAUACGCGAGGAACCUUACCUGGGCUUAAAUGCAGAGUGCAUGAAGUGGAAACAUUUCUUUCCUUCGGGACUCUUUGCAAGGUGCUGCAUGGUUGUCGUCAGCUCGUGCCGUGAGGUGUCGGGUUAAGUCCCAUAACGAGCGCAACCCUUAUCGUUAGUUGCCAGCGGGUCAUGCCGGGAACUCUAACGAAACUGCCGGUGUAAACCGUGAGGAAGGUGGGGAUGACGUCAAAUCAGCACGGCCCUUAUGUCCAGGGCUACACACGUGUUACAAUGGCCGGUACAGAGGGCAGCUACCUGGAGACAGGAUGCGAAUCUCGAAAGCCGGUCUCAGUUCGGAUCGGAGUCUGCAACUCGACUCCGUGAAGCUGGAGUC